UACGAAGGGGGCUAGCGUUGUUCGGAAUUACUGGGCGUAAAGCGCGCGCAGGCGGUUUCUCAAGUCAGUGGUGAAAGCCCGGAGCUCAACUCCGGAACUGCCAUUGAAACUGUGAAACUUGAGGACGAGAGAGGUGAGUGGAAUUCCCAGUGUAGAGGUGAAAUUCGUAGAUAUUGGGAAGAACACCAGUGGCGAAGGCGGCUCACUGGUCCGGUACUGACGCUGAUGUGCGAAAGCGUGGGGAGCACACAGG
RNAcentral lists this ribosomal RNA (253 nucleotides) under uncultured bacterium. RNAcentral describes it as "partial 16S ribosomal RNA". It matches the Rfam family "Bacterial small subunit ribosomal RNA", at positions 524 to 776 of the family's 1533-position model. The record is from RNAcentral.